This 600-nucleotide ribosomal RNA is filed under the name Alteromonas sp. SDBC8. Its description in RNAcentral is "bacterial SSU rRNA". It matches the Rfam family "Bacterial small subunit ribosomal RNA", at positions 433 to 1025 of the family's 1533-position model. The record is from RNAcentral. Lineage: Bacteria; Pseudomonadati; Pseudomonadota; Gammaproteobacteria; Alteromonadales; Alteromonadaceae.
CUUUCAGUUGUGAGGAAAAGUUAGUAGUUAAUACCUGCUAGCCGUGACGUUAACAACAGAAGAAGCACCGGCUAACUCCGUGCCAGCAGCCGCGGUAAUACGGAGGGUGCGAGCGUUAAUCGGAAUUACUGGGCGUAAAGCGCACGCAGGCGGUUUGUUAAGCUAGAUGUGAAAGCCCCGGGCUCAACCUGGGAUGGUCAUUUAGAACUGGCAGACUAGAGUCUUGGAGAGGGGAGUGGAAUUCCAGGUGUAGCGGUGAAAUGCGUAGAUAUCUGGAGGAACAUCAGUGGCGAAGGCGACUCCCUGGCCAAAGACUGACGCUCAUGUGCGAAAGUGUGGGUAGCGAACAGGAUUAGAUACCCUGGUAGUCCACACCGUAAACGCUGUCUACUAGCUGUGUGUGCCUUUAAGGCGUGCGUAGCGAAGCUAACGCGCUAAGUAGACCGCCUGGGGAGUACGGCCGCAAGGUUAAAACUCAAAUGAAUUGACGGGGGCCCGCACAAGCGGUGGAGCAUGUGGUUUAAUUCGAUGCAACGCGAAGAACCUUACCUACACUUGACAUGCUGAGAAGUUACUAGAGAUAGUUUCGUGCCUUCGGGA